Molecule: long non-coding RNA, 204 nt
Filed under: Lathyrus oleraceus (garden pea)
Lineage: Eukaryota; Viridiplantae; Streptophyta; Magnoliopsida; Fabales; Fabaceae
Description: Pisum sativum (pea) long non-coding RNA (PSAT_LNC008062)
Source: RNAcentral
AUCAAACAACAUCAACUUAAUUGACUUGGAUCAUUCUCCUUAAGCGUUGUGCUUUUCAUCCUGAAAAAUCAAGCAAAUGUGAGACACAAGACCACUAGGCCAAGCCUAGGGUCCAAAAGAGAGAAAAAAUUCUAAACAGCAAGCAAUCUUCAACCAAAAUCAAGCUAAAGCAAUUCAAAAGCAAGAGCAAUUGAUCCCAUACUC